This is a ribosomal RNA of Marinomonas sp. S3726, 115 nucleotides long. NCBI's taxonomy places the organism in Bacteria, Pseudomonadati, Pseudomonadota, Gammaproteobacteria, Oceanospirillales, Oceanospirillaceae. The record is from Rfam.
CUUGAUAAUCAUAGAGUCGUUGAACCACCUGAUCCCAUCCCGAACUCAGAAGUGAAAAGUGACAUCGCCGAUGGUAGUGUGGGAGGUCCCAUGUGAGAGUAGGUCGUUAUCAAGA